CUUCAGGCCUGCCAGGGUGUGUUUGUUUGGUGUGUGUGAUUUUGUGUGCGGAUGUGUGUGUGUGAUGUUUUACUUUUACGGAGCAGAAUAGACAUACGGUGCAGCUCUCACUCACUCUAAUGAAAUCAUCCCAGACUACAUUAAUCCCUCCUGAAGGCCACUGUCAAAAUAACAAGCAGCUUGGAUUCUUUAAAGAGAGCUAUCUGUCUUGGACAGAGUGUGUUUCCUGUCUCCGUACCUCCUCUCUCCCGUUUGGGGCAGAUCCCCUUCGCUGGAGUCAGCCUCCUCUCCACAUCCUCCUCUCCGCAGGGGGUCACCUGGACGCCCACCUCCACCGGAAUGGACCCUCUACCCCGCUCCAGUGACCUGGCCCCAGGAGAGAUGGUAAUGCCCAUGACCCCGCCAGUCUCCCCAGGCUUGGAGAAGGACCCUGGUCUGCUUCCAGGCCCCCGGCACAGACGGCGCUUGUGCUCUAUGAAAACCAGGAUAUCGCCCAGAGGGAAAUUCGUCUGGCACUGGCCACAGGUCAGCAUAUCGUGCUCCCCGGGUCCUGCCCUCCGAGGGCUGGGGGUGGAUGGCUCCAGAGAUGGAGAUCCUGCCCCUGAAUCAUGAUUGGCCUCUGCUGCAGAGAAGGGAAGAGGGGGUGACAAAUGUAAAUCGCGAUCCUCAGAUCCU
Dicentrarchus labrax (European seabass) is the source of this 675-nucleotide long non-coding RNA. RefSeq lists it as uncharacterized. The transcript is spliced from 3 exons. Lineage: Eukaryota; Metazoa; Chordata; Actinopteri; Moronidae. The record is from RefSeq and is a predicted model, not a curated record.